AAACAACAGGUAGUUGGGCUAACAUCUGCUCAAGUUAACAGCUAAAUAAACUAACUGCUAUUCAAUCUAAAAACUAACAGCAGAACACUCUUAAUGCUACUCAAGGAAACUGCAUGGAAACAACAUGAAGAUUUGCCUGAGCUGAAUGAGGGAUACAUUAGCAGCUGUUGCAUGGAAGAAUAUUCUAUAUGUGGAGUCUUUGCUAUGAGGUGUGACCUCUGGCUGAUCGGACCUCGAACCAGACCUCUGUUGUUGUUUUUGUGGCUCCCUCCUGGACUAGAACUGAACCUGGCAGACUGAGUUCCUCUCCUGACUCUGUGCCUCUCCCUGGCGGAUUCCACAUUCCCCCCCACCAGCUGAAAGAAUGUCACAGAGCCUGAUCCAGUCAGCUGCAGCAGCCUCCAGUCACAUAUGGCAUCGUGCAGAUGGACAAUCUGUUUGGGCUUCAAAGUUAGAAGGCAAAGUUCAUUAAGGCGGCAUGAGCUUUGAGCCUGCGAUUAGAAAAUAAUUUA
Girardinichthys multiradiatus is the source of this 512-nucleotide long non-coding RNA. RefSeq lists it as uncharacterized. Lineage: Eukaryota; Metazoa; Chordata; Actinopteri; Cyprinodontiformes; Goodeidae. The transcript is spliced from 4 exons. The record is from RefSeq and is a predicted model, not a curated record.